RNA transcript from Schistocerca piceifrons (Central American locust), 1570 nucleotides. It is a transcript of the gene named N(6)-adenine-specific methyltransferase METTL4, with no coding region annotated. The record is from RefSeq and is a predicted model, not a curated record. Lineage: Eukaryota; Metazoa; Arthropoda; Insecta; Orthoptera; Acrididae. The transcript has 6 exons.
UGGCGUAUGCCGGUAGUUUUGAAUGUUAUGAAUAGUAAACAAUUAUUUUUAGUGUGUUUAUUUUCAUGUCGUAAUUGGAAUGGUUGUUGUCACACAUGUUUAUAAAAAUAGGUUAAAAUGAGUGUUGUGUUUCAAGACAACAUCGGUUGGGUUUUAUCUCACGACAUGUUCGUGAAAAGUAUUUAUGGUGAAGUCUAUGACAAUAACGUUACGUGUAGGUUAGAGUUCGACCCAGCACUGUUUAAGAUUGAAACUCCAUUUAUAAAUAAAGCACCUAUCGACUCAGAUAAUUCGUUGGGCUCAGAUAAUUCCGGUAAUUUGUGGUUUUCACCCAAGAAGAAAAGAAGAACUAACAGAAACGGCGCCGAAAGUACGAAUAACAGUGCAGAGCAAGUAGUUAAUCUUGUGGCAAACAAAUCAUCAGUUUUACUUAACAAUGCAAAGAAACAGGGUGUGUUCAAUUGUGAGCCAUCAUCAUCAGAUACCUUAAGAAGAAACGAAGAUGCUAGAAACCUAUCAGUUAUAUUUUACAAAGAAAACUCUGAUGAACAAAAUAAGACAUUUCAUGGAGCCAACAAUCAGGAGUUUCCCAUAAUAGUGUCACAUGGAGAGAAAAAGUAUGUUUUCCCACCAAGGUGUAUGUUCUUUAAUAAUGAUAUAAGCAACUUGAACCAGAAAUUGGAUGUCCUUGGGAAGUUCGAUCUGCUGCUCUUGGAUCCACCUUGGUGGAAUAAAUAUAUACGAAGGAAGAAACAAAAGUCUCGUGAAUCAAGUUACAGUAUGAUGUAUGAUGAGGACCUGUUAAAAUUGCCAGUUGCAUCCUUAAUAGCUCCUGGUGCACUUGUUGCAGUAUGGUGCACAAAUUCUGAAACACACAUAAAUACAAUGAAAAAUAAAAUAUUUCCUUCUUGGGGAAUUGAGUGUGUCAGCAAAUGGUACUGGCUGAAGGUCACUCGGAGUGGUAUACCAGUUUGCAAUUUCUCUGAACCUCCUAAUAAGCAGCCAUUUGAGCAAAUACUCUUUGCACAUCAACUGUGUACACCAAGAAGUUUUCCAUUACCAGAAGAUGGAAAAAUAGUUAUUAGCGUCCCAAGUGCUAUUCAUUCACACAAACCUCCUCUGACAGAUGCUUAAAAGCAAACGUGGAGCCAGUGCACAGGCCGUUUAUAGUCCACAAGUGUACUGGUCCUACUUGCUGAAGUUCGUGGACCAGGCCACAGUGGUAGAUGAAAGUGUCUCUAAUUUAGAGGACAUGGAAAGUGGCAGUGAACAUGGAAACCCACAUUUGAAGAAAUUUUUGAGCAUGAAGUAGAGGCACAGUAUUCAUCACAAGAAGAGACUGAUGUCACCUGCAGUGAGCCACAGCCCCAGCAGCAUGAACGGCCUUCCACAAAGAGAAGAAAAGUGACAACAGACAAUCUUUUGGAGGCCACCAAAAUGUUGAAGCCUGUAACUGAUAUGAGCAAAAACCAGUCCCAGCCUGCCCGGUCCGCCUGCGGGUCCGGGGGUAAGAACAGGCCAGAGGUAUUCCUGACUGUCGUAGGAGGCGACUAAAAGGAGUCCCACACGU